GACAGAGGUGGCAAGCGUUGUUCGGAAUUACUGGGCUUAAAGGGCGAGUAGGCGGUGAGACAAGUCUGAGGUGGAAUCCUCUGGCUUAACCAGAGAAUUGCCUUGGAUACUGUUUCACUUGAGUCAGUAAGGGGAGGGCAGAAUUCCCGGUGUAGCGGUGAAAUGCGUAGAUAUCGGGAGGAAGGCCAGUAGCGAAGGCGGCCCUCUGGUGCUGAACUGACGCUGAGGCGCGAAAGCGUGGGGAGCAAACAGG
Molecule: ribosomal RNA, 253 nt
Filed under: uncultured bacterium
Lineage: Bacteria
Description: partial 16S ribosomal RNA
Rfam family: Bacterial small subunit ribosomal RNA
Source: RNAcentral